Molecule: transfer RNA, 72 nt
Filed under: Salmo salar (Atlantic salmon)
Lineage: Eukaryota; Metazoa; Chordata; Actinopteri; Salmoniformes; Salmonidae
Rfam family: tRNA
About the family: Transfer RNA (tRNA) molecules are approximately 80 nucleotides in length. Their secondary structure includes four short double-helical elements and three loops (D, anti-codon, and T loops).
Source: Rfam by way of RNAcentral
UCCCCUGUGGCUCAGUUGGUAGAGCAUGGUGUUUGCAACGCCAGGGUUGUGGGUGCGAUUCCCACGGGGGAC